UACAGAGGUCUCAAGCGUUGUUCGGAUUUAUUGGGCGUAAAGGGCGCGUAGGCGGCGGGGUAAGUCGGGUGUGAAAUCUCAGGGCUCAACCCUGAAACUGCACUUGAUACUGCUCUGCUUGAGGACUGGAGAGGAGACUGGAAUUCACGGUGUAGCAGUGAAAUGCGUAGAUAUCGUGAGGAACACCGAUGGCGAAGGCAAUCCCCUGGGCCUGCACUGACGCUCAUGCACGAAAGCGUGGGGAGCAAACAGG
This 253-nucleotide ribosomal RNA is filed under the name uncultured bacterium. RNAcentral describes it as "partial 16S ribosomal RNA". It matches the Rfam family "Bacterial small subunit ribosomal RNA", at positions 524 to 776 of the family's 1533-position model. The record is from RNAcentral.